AUUGAACGCUGGCGGAAUGCUUUACACAUGCAAGUCGAACGGCAGCACGGGGGCAGCCCUGGUGGCGAGUGGCGAACGGGUGAGUAAUACAUCGGAACGUGCCCGGUCGUGGGGGAUAACGUAGCGAAAGUUACGCUAAUACCGCAUACGAUCUGAGGAUGAAAGCGGGGGACCUUCGGGCCUCGCGCGAUCGGAGCGGCCGAUGUCAGAUUAGGUAGUUGGUGGGGUAAAGGCCUACCAAGCCGACGAUCUGUAGCUGGUCUGAGAGGACGACCAGCCACACUGGGACUGAGACACGGCCCAGACUCCUACGGGAGGCAGCAGUGGGGAAUUUUGGACAAUGGGCGCAAGCCUGAUCCAGCCAUUCCGCGUGCAGGACGAAGGCCUUCGGGUUGUAACCUGCUUUUGUACGGAACGAGAAGGCUCUGGCUAAUACCUGGGGCUCAUGACGGUACCGUAAGAAUAAGCACCGGCUAACUACGUG
Molecule: ribosomal RNA, 484 nt
Filed under: uncultured bacterium
Lineage: Bacteria
Description: partial 16S ribosomal RNA
Rfam family: Bacterial small subunit ribosomal RNA
Source: RNAcentral